AUCUUUCUGUAGUUCAUAAGUGUGAUGAUUGGAUUUUCACGUGACUAUGUGAAAUGUACCAUCCAUAAACCGUGUUACAACAUCUGCACAUUACCAGUCUGACA
Erinaceus europaeus (western European hedgehog) is the source of this 104-nucleotide small nucleolar RNA. Lineage: Eukaryota; Metazoa; Chordata; Mammalia; Eulipotyphla; Erinaceidae. The record is from Ensembl.